This 73-nucleotide transfer RNA is filed under the name Deltaproteobacteria bacterium. RNAcentral describes it as "tRNA-Gly". It matches the Rfam family "tRNA". From Rfam's summary of the family: Transfer RNA (tRNA) molecules are approximately 80 nucleotides in length. Their secondary structure includes four short double-helical elements and three loops (D, anti-codon, and T loops). The record is from RNAcentral. Lineage: Bacteria; Pseudomonadati; Myxococcota; Myxococcia.
GCGGGAAUAGCUCAGCUGGUAGAGCAGCAGCUUCCCAAGCUGCGGGUCGAGAGUUCGAACCUCUUUUCCCGCU